GAGGGACCACCACCCCGGUCUGCCAUCCCAGAGGCACUGUCCCCGACCGCCACGCGAUGUUGCACAGGCGUGUCAACCAAGACAGCCCCACAACAUCCAGAGACUUGAGGUACUCAGGGCGGAUCUCAUCCACCCCCGGUGCCUUGCCACUGAGGAGUUUCUUAACCACCUCGGUGACUUCAGCCCGGGUGAUGGACGAGUCCACCUCUGAGCCUUCAUCCUCUGCUUCCUCAAUGGAAGACGUGACGGCGGGAUUGAGGAGAUCCUCGAAGUACUCCUUCCACCGCCCGACGACAUCCCCAGUUGAGGUCAACAGCUGCCCACCUCUACUGUAAACAGCGUUGGUAGGGCACUGUUUCCCUCUCCUGAGGCGCCGGAUGGUUUGCCAGAAUCUCUUCGAGGCCAGCCGAUAGUCCUUCUCCAUGGCCUCACCGAACUCCUCCCAGGCCCGAGUUUUUGCCUCCACAACCACCCGGGCUGCAGUCCGCUUGGCCUGUCGGUACCCGUCAGCUGCCUCUGGAGUCC
Long non-coding RNA from Esox lucius (northern pike), 525 nucleotides. The record is from Ensembl. NCBI's taxonomy places the organism in Eukaryota, Metazoa, Chordata, Actinopteri, Esociformes, Esocidae.